GAUGAACGCUAGCUACAGGCUUAACACAUGCAAGUCGAGGGGAAACGACAUCGAAAGCUUGCUUUUGAUGGGCGUCGACCGGCGCACGGGUGAGUAACGCGUAUCCAACCUGCCCACCACUUGGGGAUAACCUUGCGAAAGUAAGACUAAUACCCAAUGAUAUCUCUAGAAGACAUCUGAAAUAGAUUAAAGAUUUAUCGGUAAUGGAGGAGGGUGCGUUUGAUGAGCUAGUUGGUGGGGUAACGGCCCACCAAGGCAACGAUCAGUAGGUGUUCUGAGAGGAAGGCACCCUAGAUUGGAACUGCGGCACAGACCACAAUGCUACGGGAGGGAGGAGUGAGGAAGACUGGUCGAGGGAGGAUAGUCUGACCCAGCCAAGUAUCGUGCAGAAAGCCGGCGCUAUUGGUUGUAAACUGCUUUUGUAAGAGAAUAGUGUGAGUCUCCCGAGAUUUUUUGCCGGUACCUUAUGAAUAAGGACCGGCUAACUCCGUG
RNAcentral lists this ribosomal RNA (492 nucleotides) under uncultured bacterium. RNAcentral's name for it is "partial 16S ribosomal RNA". It matches the Rfam family "Bacterial small subunit ribosomal RNA", at positions 28 to 507 of the family's 1533-position model. The record is from RNAcentral.